GCCCGGUUAGCUCAGCCGGUAGAGCGUUGGACUUUUAAUCCAAAGGCCAAGGGUUCAAAUCCCUUAUCGGGCU
Ciona savignyi (Pacific transparent sea squirt) is the source of this 73-nucleotide non-coding RNA. NCBI's taxonomy places the organism in Eukaryota, Metazoa, Chordata, Ascidiacea, Phlebobranchia, Cionidae. The record is from Rfam.